CCACUUUGACAAUAUUUACUUAAGUAUUUCCCCCCACCUCACUCACACACAUGCUCCCCCACACUGGUUCCCUUAAAUAGUUCCAGUAGAAUUUUUUUUUUUCCCUUAAGAAAGGAAAGAGAAAGUCCAACCACUACGGCAAUACUUUUAAGCUCUACUAAAUGAUCGUAUCCUUUCUGGCUUCGAAACUUUUGUACCUAAAAAUCGAGAGAGGCGCUGCAUUUUUUCAGUUGAAACUGUCAAAACUUGGAGAAGGGGGACCUCGGAGGCAGGCAGGAGAGGAGGAGAAUCCUGAAAACUCGGUGGAGGUUGGGAAGAUGCUGUGCCUCGAGGAUUAGUUUAAACAGGGGGCUAUAAAAGAUGUAACAGAUGCAAACUGUAACACAAGGGCCAUUAACCCUUUCUCUGCCGGGCACACUCAGUCCCCACGCCCCACACCUAUUGUCUCCUGUGCUAGAAGCUUUGCAGAAAACCUGGAAAUUUUGGCCAGAAAUGGUGAGAAGAAAAAGCAUGAAGAAGCCGCGAAGUGUGGGGGAGAAAAAGGUGGAAGCGAAGAAACAGCUCCCGGAGCAAACUGUACAAAAACCUCGCCAAGAGUGUCGGGAGGCAGGACCGUUAUUCCUGCAGAGCAGGAGAGAGACGAGAGACCCUGAAACACGCGCCACCUAUCUUUGUGGGGAGGGAUAAUUGAAGCGCCCUGAGCGUGAGCAUCAUGUGAAAACGUGAUCGCCAAGUUUCUCUCUGGGAAAGGAUCUGGGAUAGAUUAUACCUUGAAGUCUCCGCAAACGCUUUAGUGGAAGAAAUGAAAUUCCACCUCCCUCCCUUCCUCCUCUCCCUCCCUUUCGCCUUCGCCUCCUUCCCCCCUCCCUCCCUUCUCCCCCCCUCCACCCCCCCUCCCCGCCCGUCAAGCCUUUGGCAUCAUUAUCCUCAUCACUAAAUCCUACAGAGUACAGGGCGGAAAACGGUGCACACCAUUCACAGAACUGGAGAACUCCAAGGGGCGAAAGUUAAAGGGAAAGAUCCUGGGUCCUCAAUCCAGAUAGUCUCUUCUUAUACAGAUAUCUCUAAUGACCAGAUUUGAGAUGCACAUCAAAUUGUGUAGGUAUCUCAGUACAGCUUCUGGAACAAAGUUCUCUGCCCUUUCUCUUAUUAUUAUUUUUUUCUUUUUAGGUACCAGAGCCAGAAAAAAAUUGCUGCAUGGGAGCUGCAUCUUAGGGCAUGUGUAUUAGGGUGUGUGCAUGAUGAAUUUCUGGACUGGAUCCCAAUAUUAAAAAGUAGUUUGGCAUUUUAAUAAAGGGUCUCUAAGUAAAUUAACAUAGAA
RNAcentral lists this antisense RNA (1321 nucleotides) under Pan troglodytes (chimpanzee). The stretch from base 352 to 479 matches the Rfam family "ZEB2 antisense RNA 1 conserved region 1". The record is from RNAcentral. Lineage: Eukaryota; Metazoa; Chordata; Mammalia; Primates; Hominidae.